CGCGGAGCAAGUGCAACAACAAGUUAAGCGGUCCGCUCCGUUUCGCCAGAUUCUGAUUCUCCGCCAAGUUGAGCCUACACGUCAGUGGAGAACCUGUACUGGUGACCGGACGUGUGCGGCGCGCGUCAGGCGGUUCCCGGAUGCGCCGAACAGAAACAUGGAACGGGUAGUGGUGGAAGUGCCGACCAACAACGGGUUUUCUCUCGCUGGCCACUCGACGACCCCCCGAAAGCGGCAGGUGCGCUUCUCAGCCCGCCAUGACAUCAUCCUGCUGCGGGAGGUGGUCGCCCGGAACCCCUUUGCCUCCAAAGAGCCGGCAUGACAAAUACAAUGUAUUAUUAUUAUUAUUAUUAUUAUUAUUAUAAAUAUGGACACUUCAAAAUAUCUGUCUGUUAUAUCUGGCGCCA
Long non-coding RNA from Gasterosteus aculeatus aculeatus (three-spined stickleback), 407 nucleotides. The record is from Ensembl. NCBI's taxonomy places the organism in Eukaryota, Metazoa, Chordata, Actinopteri, Perciformes, Gasterosteidae.